UACGUAGGCAGCAAGCGUUGUUCGGAAUUACUGGGCGUAAAGCGUGCGUAGGUGGUUUGUUAAGUCUGUUGUGAAAGCCCCGGGCUCAACCUGGGAAUGGCAAUGGAUACUGGCAGGCUAGAGUGCGGUAGAGGGUAGUGGAAUUCCCGAUGUAGCGGUGAAAUGCGUAGAGAUCGGGAGGAACACCAGUGGCGAAGGCGGCUACCUGGACCAGCACUGACACUGAGGCACGAAAGCGUGGGGAGCAAACAGG
Molecule: ribosomal RNA, 253 nt
Filed under: uncultured bacterium
Lineage: Bacteria
Description: partial 16S ribosomal RNA
Rfam family: Bacterial small subunit ribosomal RNA
Source: RNAcentral